Long non-coding RNA from Hemiscyllium ocellatum (epaulette shark), 486 nucleotides. RefSeq lists it as uncharacterized. The record is from RefSeq and is a predicted model, not a curated record. NCBI's taxonomy places the organism in Eukaryota, Metazoa, Chordata, Chondrichthyes, Orectolobiformes, Hemiscylliidae. The transcript is spliced from 5 exons.
CCAGUGAUCAGUGCCAAAGCCCCAUUGCCUGUGGAGAGGGUGAUGUUUGAUUUCCCUGUCCAGCUGCAGUUCAUGUGGUGAAGGUGCUCCCACAAUGUGGUUGGGUGGACAUUCAGAUGGUAAUCUCAGUAAUUGUAACGCCAAACUGUGACAAAAUUACUCAAUUCAUCAGGAGCUGGAUAUUCACAUUGUGUGGAUCUGCACUGGAACCCUUCUGUUUGCGGGACAAAUAUAUAUAAGUGACAUGGAUUAAAAUCUAAUUUGCUUUGAUGGAGAUGUGUUGAAAAUGUUUGCAGUUACUGAUCUGCUGAACCAAAAUGACCCCUUUUAAACUGAUGAUUGGACUAGAAACCUUUUAGAAAACUUGAAAAUAUUCGGUAAGGUCAACACAACCAUGAACCAAGCAAUGAUUCCUCAUCCAACACUCACAGGAAAUAUCUGAUGCCUUCUCAUUUGAAUGUUCAGAGAAAUCAUUGGAUUAAUAUU